Molecule: ribosomal RNA, 425 nt
Filed under: Mucor sp. SW291
Lineage: Eukaryota; Fungi; Mucoromycota; Mucoromycetes; Mucorales; Mucoraceae
Description: LSU rRNA
Rfam family: Eukaryotic large subunit ribosomal RNA
Source: RNAcentral
AGACCGAUAGCGAACAAGUCCGUGAGGGAAAGCGAACAAGAACUUUGAAAAGAGAGUUAAACAGUAUGUGAAAUUGUUAAAAGGGAACCGUUUGGAGCCAGACUGGUUUGACUGUAAUCAACCUAGAAUUCGUUCUGGGUGCACUUGCAGUCUAUACCUGCCAACAACAGUUUGAUUUGGAGGAAAAAAUUAGUAGGAAUGUAGCCUCUCGAGGUGUUAUAGCCUACUAUCAUACUCUGGAUUGGACUGAGGAACGCAGCGAAUGCCAUUAGGCGAGAUUGCUGGGUGCUUUCGCUAAUAAAUGUUAGAAUUUCUGCUUCGGGUGGUGCUAAUGUUUAAAGAAGGAACACAUCUAGUAUAUUUUUUAUUCGCUUAGGUUGUUGGCUUAAUGACUCUAAAUGUCCCGUCUUGAAACACGGACCAAG